CCCUUAGAUGUUCUGGGCCGCACGCGCGCUACACUGACGAAUGCAACGAGCUUAUAACCUUGGCCGAAAGGUCUGGGUAAUCUCCAAAUUUCGUCGUGAUGGGGAUAGAUUAUUGCAAUUAUUAAUCUUCAACGAGGAAUGCCUAGUAAGCGCAAGUCAUCAGCUUGCGUUGAUUACGUCCCUGCCCUUUGUACACACCGCCCGUCGCUCCUACCGAUUGAAUGCUCAGGUGAGCCAUUCGGACUUUCAUCAUGUCGGUUUCCGAUUUUGAUGAAGGAAAGUCUUGCGAACCUUAUCAUUUAGAGGAAGGAGAANUCGUANCA
Molecule: ribosomal RNA, 323 nt
Filed under: uncultured eukaryote
Lineage: Eukaryota
Description: partial 18S ribosomal RNA
Rfam family: Eukaryotic small subunit ribosomal RNA
Source: RNAcentral